GACGAACGCUGGCGGCGUGCUUAACACAUGCAAGUCGAACGGCAAGGCCCUUCGGGGUACACGAGUGGCGAACGGGUGAGUAACACGUGGGUGAUCUGCCCUGCACUUCGGGAUAAGCCUGGGAAACUGGGUCUAAUACCGGAUAGGACCACUGCCUGCAUGGGUGGUGGUGGAAAGCUUUUGCGGUGUGGGAUGGGCCCGCGGCCUAUCAGCUUGUUGGUGGGGUGAUGGCCUACCAAGGCGACGACGGGUAGCCGGCCUGAGAGGGUGACCGGCCACACUGGGACUGAGAUACGGCCCAGACUCCUACGGGAGGCAGCAGUGGGGAAUAUUGCACAAUGGGCGCAAGCCUGAUGCAGCGACGCCGCGUGAGGGAUGAUGGCCUUCGGGUUGUAAACCUCUUUCAGCACCGACGAAGCGCAAGUGACGGUAGGUGCAGAAGAAGGACCGGCCAACUACGUGCCAGCCGCCGCAGUAA
This 478-nucleotide ribosomal RNA is filed under the name uncultured bacterium. RNAcentral describes it as "partial 16S ribosomal RNA". It matches the Rfam family "Bacterial small subunit ribosomal RNA", at positions 28 to 523 of the family's 1533-position model. The record is from RNAcentral.